CCCAAAUCGGAUUCCACAAAUAAAAGAAACCCUAGAAUUUGAAAUUUAUUACGGUAAGAGAGAAAAAAAAUAGUUGGAUCUAGGAAUCGUCGAGAGGCGAUCUUCAGGUCGUCUAUUCAAAGGUCGCCGAAAUGCGCUUAUUCACCGGCAAACCGCCUUCAAUUUUCAUCCUCGCCGUUUUCCUUACCGCCCUUCUCCUCCCCAUCGCCCGAUCCGACCCUAAUCUGCUGAAGCUGCCGUCUGAUAAGCCAGAAAACGACCUCUGCCCGUUGAAUUCGGAACCGUAUAUGUGCCCCGAAAAAUGCUUCCGGCCCGACCCGGUUUGCGGGGUGGACGGCGUGACCUAUUGGUGCGGCUGCGCAGAGGCCCAUUGUGCGGGAGCGCGUGUGAAGAAAUUCGGUUAUUGUGAGGUCGGCAAUGGCGGGUCGGGCCCCGCGGGGCAGGCUCUUUUAUUGGUUCACAUCAUAUGGCUAAUAUUGCUCGGGGUAUUCGUAUUGUUUGGGCUGCUCUAAUUCCUUGUAACUUUUCUUACAUUUCAAUUGAGGAUGAUAGGAUUGCUUUGCGAAUUAUGGAUUCACAAAAAGAAAAAG
Molecule: long non-coding RNA, 590 nt
Organism: Salvia miltiorrhiza (redroot sage)
Lineage: Eukaryota; Viridiplantae; Streptophyta; Magnoliopsida; Lamiales; Lamiaceae
Exons: 2
Source: RefSeq, a predicted model, not a curated record